RNAcentral lists this ribosomal RNA (482 nucleotides) under uncultured bacterium. RNAcentral describes it as "partial 16S ribosomal RNA". It matches the Rfam family "Bacterial small subunit ribosomal RNA", at positions 30 to 507 of the family's 1533-position model. The record is from RNAcentral.
AUUGAACGCUGGCGGCAUGCCUUACACAUGCAAGUCGAACGGUAACGGGCCUUCGGGCGCCGACGAGUGGCGCACGGGUGAGUAAUACAUCGGAACGUGCCCGAUCGUGGGGGAUAACGAGGCGAAAGCUUUGCUAAUACCGCAUACGAUCUACGGAUGAAAGCAGGGGACCGCAAGGCCUUGCGCGGACGGAGCGGCCGAUGGCAGAUUAGGUAGUUGGUGGGAUAAAAGCUUACCAAGCCGACGAUCUGUAGCUGGUCUGAGAGGAUGAUCAGCCACACUGGGACUGAGACACGGCCCAGACUCCUACGGGAGGCAGCAGUGGGGAAUUUUGGACAAUGGGCGCAAGCCUGAUCCAGCCAUGCCGCGUGCAGGAUGAAGGCCUUCGGGUUGUAAACUGCUUUUGUACGGAACGAAAAGCCUUCUUUUAAUACAGGAGGGUCAUGACGGUACCGUAAGAAUAAGCACCGGCUAACUACGUG